This 381-nucleotide ribosomal RNA is filed under the name uncultured bacterium. RNAcentral's name for it is "bacterial SSU rRNA". It matches the Rfam family "Bacterial small subunit ribosomal RNA", at positions 28 to 413 of the family's 1533-position model. The record is from RNAcentral.
GAUGAACGCUAGCGGCAGGCCUAACACAUGCAAGUCGAGGGGUAGAGUUCUUCGGGACUUGAGACCGGCGCACGGGUGCGUAACGCGUAUGCAAUCUACCUUAUACAGGGGAAUAGCCCAGAGAAAUUUGGAUUAAUGCCCCAUAGUGUUAUCGAAUCGCAUGGUUUGAUAACUAAAGUUCCAACGGUAAAAGAUGAGUAUGCGUCCCAUUAGCUAGAUGGUAAGGUAACGGCUUACCAUGGCAACGAUGGGUAGGGGUCCUGAGAGGGAGAUCCCCACACUGGUACUGAGACACGGACCAGACUCCUACGGGAGGCAGCAGUGAGGAAUAUUGGACAAUGGCGCAAGACCUGAUCCAGCCAUGCGCGUGCAAGGAAGAAC